CUUGAAACUGGGAGACUUGAGUGCAGGAGAGGAGAGUGGAAUUCCUAGUGUAGCGGUGAAAUGCGUAGAUAUUAGGAGGAACACCAGUUGCGAAGGCGGCUCUCUGGACUGUAACUGACGCUGAGGCACGAAAGCGUGGGGAGCAAACAGGAUUAGAUACCCUGGUAGUCCACGCUGUAAACGAUGAGUACUAGGUGUCGGGGGUUACCCCC
Molecule: ribosomal RNA, 212 nt
Filed under: Clostridioides difficile
Lineage: Bacteria; Bacillati; Bacillota; Clostridia; Peptostreptococcales; Peptostreptococcaceae
Description: partial 16S ribosomal RNA
Rfam family: Bacterial small subunit ribosomal RNA
Source: RNAcentral